This 3421-nucleotide long non-coding RNA is filed under the name Sus scrofa (pig). RNAcentral describes it as "lncRNA (ENSSSCG00040059079.1)". The record is from RNAcentral. Lineage: Eukaryota; Metazoa; Chordata; Mammalia; Artiodactyla; Suidae.
CCUUUGACACAAACACUUAUUAAAAAAACCUAAAAACAGUCUUUUUUCAAGCAUCAAGCCAUAUAAAACUUACAAUAUCUUGGAAUGAGUGAGAGACCAAGAAUCAAAUGAUUUGUUUAGGACACAGUGUUACUUAAAUGGCCUCAUUAUGGACCUAGCUAAAAAUGAUAAUUUUCAGAGUAUAUAAUUCCUCACAUUAUUUAACAAAAAAGGAAGUAUUUUUUUCUCUAGAGACUUCUGAGAGACCAGAACCCUACUGACACAUUAAUUUUGGAUUUCAAUCAUCCAAAAGUAUGAAAGAAUAAAUUCCUGUUGCCUUAAGCCCCUUAGUUUGUGACUAUUUCUUAUAGUAGCAUUUACAAACUAAUACAUUUGAAAAUAUAGGAAAUACUUUACAAUAUCCAAUAGUCCAUUUUUCUUGAAAUAGAUAUGGGUAUGUCAGUGUUACAUGAAUAUGUAGACUUCUUAGGUCAAAGGACUCUUGAUUAUGAAAUGUUCAUGAAAAGGACAACCAAGUCUAGAGUUUAAAACAAUUACUGUCAAUAUAUACUUUUUAUAUGAUGUCAUUAAUCCCUGGCUUUGAAAAUACUUCACCAGCCACAGUCAUAGAACAAGUGCUCACUGGCUCUGAGUUUCCCCUUCUUAUUAUAGCCUUUAACUUGAAUCACAAAAUAUUUUGACUGGUAGGAUUUCUUUAAUUCUGAAAGCUUUUGAAAAAGAAAGAAUAACUGCUCCAAGGGGAGCAAUUUCUAUUUGAAGAUUUUCUUAAAUAUUCUUUUUUUUGGUCAACUUAAUCACUGUAAUAUUAUUAAACUACUACAAAAAUUGAAACUUGGAGUUCCCUGGUGGCUGAGUGAGUUAAGGAUCUGACACUGUUACUGCUGUGACAAGUUGCUGCUGUGGCAUGGGUUUGAUCCCUGUCCCCAGAAUUUACAUGUGCCACAGGCGUGGCCAAAAACAAAAACCAAAAAGCAAAAACUGAAACUUGAUAGAAUUUAGUUUUCUGGCUAUUUUCAAUAAAAGACUUAUAUAUCAUAUUGAUUGAAUGCAAGUCAGUGGGAGAAAAAGUGCUUAUUUAAAUAUAUUCCUAAUGUAGCUGAACUUCAACUUUAGAAUUUAUCCAUACACGAUACUCGUCCCUAGCUGUGUACACAUACACAGGUAUUUUUGAUAUUUAGAAGUAGUAUGGCUGAGCUUUGCUCUCAAUUUACAUUAGUGCUAAAAUGGAAAGCAAGUAAACAAAUAAUUGUAUGGUGCCUCAUUCUCAAUAAUGUAAUUCUUUCCUAGAAGUUUGUUCUUAAUUCUGUUCUCAUUCCUUUUGUCAUCAUUGAUGUUGUCACAGCUUUCAUCAUCAACAUAAUCAUCACCCUCAUUCAGUAGCUCUUACUUGAUAUGAUUGAGCAAUAAGGAUAUAAUAGUGAGCACAGAUCUUACAUUUGCUAGGGCAAAGCAAAAUGGAUGGUUUCAAUAUAAUAUGAUAUGUGAAAGAUAUUACAUGGCAUUACAGUGUGCUAAAAGAGCACUGACAAUGGCACUUAACUUGUAUUUGAAGUUUCGUCAUUGUAUCAGGAUAAUUUCCAGUCAUCCUUAUCUCAGUUUAGUUACUCUUCUGCUAAGUCAUACUAGAACUAGUAAGGGAGAGCUGGUGCUUUGUAGAACUAAAGAAAGUUUGAUAUAAACGAUAGAAAGAAAAGAAUAAAAUCAAAUAUAGUUCAAGUAUAGAGUUCAAGCACAGAAAUUGAGAUAAAUGAGGGAGGAGAGGUAUUAUGGUCUAUAUCGUGCAUGGUUUUUAAACAUUAUUAUGCUACACAGAUUUCUCCCCCAAAGUUAAGCUGAACUUCUCCAAGUUUCUUAGAUUUUCUAUUGUCUCUCCUCGUGCCAGGCUGUACACAUGCUUGUUCUUCCAGCUACAAUAAAUCUAUCCCCAUUCUUUAUCUGCAUAAUCCUUACCCCUCUCAGAUCUCAGGUCUCAUAUCAUUUCCUCAGGGAAACUUUGCUAUGAUUUGUAGAAUCCAAAGAUGACCCACAAUGGCCUAUAGUGGGUGAGUUCCUUGAGUGCAAGAACAAUAAAUAUGAAGAGAUAUCAUUAAUGCAAAAGAAUAUUUUCCUGAGUGGGCUUGACUUAGCCAGAUGAGACCUUAAAAGAAGGUGAAGUAUCAUAGAAGUUCCCCUGCUUGGCCUGUAAAGAAGCUGUCAUAUUGUAAAUUGCCUUUGCAAGGAGCCACAGGAGACCUCAGUCCAACAACCACAAGGAACUAAUUCUGUCAGCAACUUCAUUCCACUUGAAAAGGGACCCUGAGUUCUAAAUGAGACUUCAAAGAAAGCCAAUAUCUUGAUUUUAGUCUGAUUCUGAGUAGAGACCUCAAUUAACCUGUGUCUGAACUCCUGAUCAAUGGAAAUUGAGAUAAUAAAUUCAUGCUGCUUUCAGCUGCUAAUUUUGUGGUAAUUCUUAUGAAGCAAUAGGAAAGUAACAGACUUCCUAAAUUCUCACACUAGCAAUUUUCCCUUAUAUACUACCACAGUAAUCAGUUCUUUCUGUUUUGUUCACUCUUCACCAAGUAAUAUACCUAGCAUGUACUGCACACUCAAAAAAUAUUUAUUAAUCAAAUGAGAUAUGGGGAACCAUUGAAAAGUUUGAUGCAUUGGGAUGAAAUGGUAAAUAUCCUGAAUAUAAACUGUAUUGACAAGCAAUUUUGUAUAUGACCUGUUCCCAACUUAUUUGUUAAGUACAUUUUUCACCACUGGCACACUCCAUAACCAGCAACAUAUCCUCUAGACAUUUUUCUGUCACUUGUGCUUCUCUCUACAUGCUAUUUUUCUGAUGAUACAUUGUUUUCUCUCUGUUCUACUUUCAUUUGUCUGGUUUCCCCAUUUUCUUAUGUCAACCUAAAAAGCACUCACUCUUGAAUCUUGCUCUUCAUUGUCACAACAUGCCAUGUGAUCAGUGAAGCUUUCUCCACAUUAGCUGUGCAGCCCAUGAAAACCACCUCUGGUAUUCAGAGGAGAUACAGGUAAGAUACGUGCUUAGUGUUCUCGAAGUUAGGAAUAAUUUACAUCAAUGCCUAAUUAUGCAUUUUGGCAGAGUGAACUAUCAUUGGCUUGUGGUUUUCAGGUUUAUAACUAUCCAGUCAAUAACCACAGACAUGAAUUUUAGAAGCCAUCUAGCAACUAGCAUUUAAAGAAAAAAAAGUAGGAAUUCCUGUUAUGGUGUAGCAGUAAUGAAUCCGACUAGUUUCAAUGAGGAUGUGGGUUUGAUCACUGGCCUUGCUCAGUGGGUCAGGGAUCCAGCAUUGCUGUGAGCUGUGAUGUAGGUCGCAGACACAGCUCAGAUUCCACGUUGCUGUGGCUGUGGUGUAGGCUGGCAGCUGUAGCUCUGAUUUGACCCCUAGUUGGAGAACUUCCAUAUGCUGCAGAUGUGGCC